RNAcentral lists this long non-coding RNA (201 nucleotides) under Homo sapiens (human). Its description in RNAcentral is "HSALNT0223187". The record is from RNAcentral. Lineage: Eukaryota; Metazoa; Chordata; Mammalia; Primates; Hominidae.
GCCGCCUCUUCCUCCAUCCCUGUCCCCUACCCACCGCAGCAUUUGAAAACCUUUCCUUUCGCCGGAGAUGAAAGGUGUGUGUUGUAGCAGGCUAGGCGGCCAACUUCCCUGGCUUCGGGGCUAAUCGUUUGCAUCCAGAGUUCCUCACUAGCUCCUUAGAGCACAGCUUUUUUCAGCCUGCUGUUUUUCAAGAGGUUUUGG